UCCGUAGGUGAACCUGCGGAAGGAUCAUUAUCGUGGGGCUUCGGCCCUAUCGAGAUAGAACCCGUGCCUUUUUCGAGUACCAUCUGUUUCCUCGGCAGGCUCGCCUGCCAAUGGGGACUACAACUAAACUCUUUAUUUACCUGUAUAGUCUGAAAAAAACAAAUAAAAAUUAAAACUUUCAACAACGGAUCUCUUGGUUCUGGCAUCGAUGAAGAACGCAGCGAAAUGCGAUAAGUAGUGUGAAUUGCAGAAUUCAGUGAAUCAUCGAAUCUUUGAACGCACAUUGCGCCCAUUGGUAUUCCUUUGGGCAUGCCUGUUCGAGCGUCAUUUAACCCUUCAAGCUCUGCUUGGUGUUGGGCGUCUGUCCUACCUUAUGGUUUGGACUCGCCUCAAAAACAUUGGCGGCCGGUACAUUGGCUUCGAGCGCAGCAGAAACGCGAACUCGGAGACAGUGGAUCAGCUCCCAGAAGCAAACCCUUUUAUUUUGACCUCGGAUCAGGUAGGGAUACCCGCUGAACUUAAGCAUAUCAAUAAGCGGAGGAAGUCGAUG
Molecule: ribosomal RNA, 550 nt
Filed under: uncultured fungus
Lineage: Eukaryota; Fungi
Description: eukaryotic LSU rRNA
Rfam family: 5.8S ribosomal RNA (bases 174-327)
Source: RNAcentral